This 502-nucleotide ribosomal RNA is filed under the name uncultured bacterium. Its description in RNAcentral is "bacterial SSU rRNA". It matches the Rfam family "Bacterial small subunit ribosomal RNA", at positions 25 to 518 of the family's 1533-position model. The record is from RNAcentral.
CAGGAUGAACGCUAGCUACAGGCUUAACACAUGCAAGUCGAGGGGCAGCAUGGGAUAGCUGCUAUUCAGAUGGCGACCGGCGCACGGGUGAGUAACGCGUAUCCAACCUUCCUGCCAGUAGGGAACAGCCCGGCGAAAGUCGGAUUAAUGCCCUAUGUUCUUCAAUGCGGACAUCUAAGUUGAAGGAAAGAUUCAUCGCUGGCAGAUGGGGAUGCGUCCGAUUAGCUUGCCGGCGGGGUAACGGCCCACCGGGGCGACGAUCGGUAGGGGUUCUGAGAGGAAGGUCCCCCACACUGGUACUGAGACACGGACCAGACUCCUACGGGAGGCAGCAGUGAGGAAUAUUGGUCAAUGGGCGUAAGCCUGAACCAGCCAAGUAGCGUGCAAGGAUGACGGCCCUACGGGUUGUAAACUGCUUUUAUGCGGGGAUAAAGUGCGGCACGUGUGCCGCUUUGCAGGUACCGCAUGAAUAAGGACCGGCUAAUUCCGUGCCAGCCGCCGC